CUGUUGUAUUCAGCAUUUCACUGUGAGGUCUACUACAUCUGUUGUAUUCAGCAUUUCACUGUGAGGUCUACUACACCUGUUGUAUUCAGCAUUUCACUGUAAGGUCUACUACACCUGUUGUAUUCAGCAUUUCACUGUAAGGUCUACUACACCUGUUGUAUUCAGCAUUUCACUGUAAGGUCUACUACACCUGUUGUAUUCAGCAUUUCACUGUAAGGUCUACUACACCUGUUGUAUUCAGCAUUUCACUGUAAGGUCUACUACCCCUGUUGU
Molecule: long non-coding RNA, 273 nt
Organism: Oncorhynchus keta (chum salmon)
Lineage: Eukaryota; Metazoa; Chordata; Actinopteri; Salmoniformes; Salmonidae
Exons: 3
Source: RefSeq, a predicted model, not a curated record